GAUGAACGCUGGCGGCGUGCAUAAUACAUGCAAGUCGAGCGAAGCGGGGACGGGGUAGUAACACGUGGAUAACCUCCUCUAAGACUGGGGAAACUUCGGGAAACCGGAGCUAAACCGGAUACUUAUCGAUGGAACCGCACUGCAUUAGCUAGUUGGUAAGGUAACGGCUUACAAAGGCAACGAGGGAUAGCCGACCUGAGAGGGUGAGCGGGCACCCUGGAACUGCGACACGGUCCAGACUCCUACGUGAGGCAGCAGUAGGGAAUCUUCCGCAAUGGGCGAAAGCCUGACGGAGCAACGCCGCGUGAGUGAUGAAGGUCUUCGGAUCGUAAAACUCUGUUAUUAGGGAAGCGGUACCUAAUCAGAAAGCCACGGCUAACUACGUGCCAGCAGCCGCGGUAAUUC
Molecule: ribosomal RNA, 405 nt
Filed under: uncultured bacterium
Lineage: Bacteria
Description: partial 16S ribosomal RNA
Rfam family: Bacterial small subunit ribosomal RNA
Source: RNAcentral